UGGGGAAUUUUUCGCAAUGGGGGAAACCCUGACGAAGCAACGCCGCGUGGAGGAUGAAGGCCUUCGGGUCGUAAACUCCUGUCGACCGGGACGAACGUAGUCUGGCCCAAUACGCCGGGCUAUCGACUGUACCGGUAAAGGAAGCUCCGGCUAACUCUGUGCCAGCAGCCGCGGUAAUACAGAGGGAGCAAGCGUUGUUCGGAAUUACUGGGCGUAAAGGGCGCGUAGGCGGUCUUGUAAGUCCCGUGUGAAAUCCCUCGGCUCAACUGAGGAACUGCACGGGAAACUGCGAGGCUUGAGUUCGGGAGAGGGAAGCGGAAUUCCGGGUGUAGCGGUGAAAUGCGUAGAUAUCCGGAGGAACACCGGUGGCGAAGGCGGCUUCCUGGACCGACACUGACGCUGAGGCGCGAAAGCUAGGGGAGCAAACGG
This 429-nucleotide ribosomal RNA is filed under the name uncultured bacterium. Its description in RNAcentral is "bacterial SSU rRNA". It matches the Rfam family "Bacterial small subunit ribosomal RNA", at positions 355 to 775 of the family's 1533-position model. The record is from RNAcentral.